GGCCCCCCUCCAGGCAAGCUGUGACAGAGAGAGCAAGAGGGGACCUGCGUGCAUCAAGAGGCCAGGUUUUACAGUGACCUGAUAAACGUGGGGCUGAGGCAGCAAAGAUCAAGCGGCAAGAGGUGCUUGAGGGCAUUUCAGUGCAAGGAGCAGUGACACACUCAGCAGGAAGGCUGCUCCAGUCAAACCCAGCUUCCCCAGUGCUCGCAGUCCCCACAUCAUCUGCAAUUCAUACUUUGAAGCUCGCAGGCAGAGCUGCUGCGUGGAAUGUUGUCUGCCAAGCACUUGGCACAAUGUGCCUCCAUGGACCAGGACUACAGGGCAGCAGUCCGGGUCAAACCCAUGUUUGCCAACCUCUCUGUCUCAAGAGGACACAAUGCACCUCUGUGGUAAACUGAGACCCCUAUUCAAGCCCCUCUGCUCUUCAUCUCUACCAGGAGCUCAGCAGCCUGCCAAGGGAUGCAGCACUGGCAACUGCUCCUGAUUUAUACUGAUGGAGAAUAACUUCCCUUUACAAAAGUAAAUAAAG
Neopsephotus bourkii (Bourke's parrot) is the source of this 529-nucleotide long non-coding RNA. RefSeq lists it as uncharacterized. NCBI's taxonomy places the organism in Eukaryota, Metazoa, Chordata, Aves, Psittaciformes, Psittacidae. The record is from RefSeq and is a predicted model, not a curated record. The transcript is spliced from 3 exons.